Molecule: ribosomal RNA, 286 nt
Filed under: Rhyncogonus duplex
Lineage: Eukaryota; Metazoa; Arthropoda; Insecta; Coleoptera; Curculionidae
Description: partial 12S ribosomal RNA
Source: RNAcentral
UAGUAGUAGUUAUGUUCUUGAAAAUUAAAAAAGUUGGCGGUAUUUUAGUCUAUUUAGAGGAACCUGUCCUGUAAUCGAUAAUCCACGAUUUGAUUUACUUAUUGUUUUAGUUUGUAUAUCGCCGUAGGUUGAAUAUUUUUAAAGAAUUAGUAAUAUUCAAUAAGUUUAUAAGAAAAAAAUUCAGGUCAAGAUGUAGCGUAUAAAUAAGAAGAGAUGGGUUACAAUAAAUAUAUUUAUGAUGAAUUAAUAAAUUUAAUUUUAUAAUGAAGGUGGAUUUAAAAGUAAU